RNAcentral lists this ribosomal RNA (253 nucleotides) under uncultured bacterium. RNAcentral's name for it is "partial 16S ribosomal RNA". It matches the Rfam family "Bacterial small subunit ribosomal RNA", at positions 524 to 776 of the family's 1533-position model. The record is from RNAcentral.
UACGUAGGGACCAAGCGUUGUCCGGAAUUAUUGGGCGUAAAGAGCUCGUAGGCGGCUGUCCACGUCGGAUGUGAAAGCUCGGGGCUCAACCCUGAGAGGCCAUUCGAUACGGGACGGCUAGAGGUAGGUAGGGGAGAUUGGAAUUCCUGGUGUAGCGGUGAAAUUCGUAGAUAUCGGGAGGAACACCGGUGGCGAAGGCGGCGACCUGGGUAGAUACUGACGCUGAGGUGCGAAAGCGUGGGGAGCAAACAGG